Molecule: ribosomal RNA, 142 nt
Filed under: uncultured eukaryote
Lineage: Eukaryota
Description: partial 18S ribosomal RNA
Rfam family: Eukaryotic small subunit ribosomal RNA
Source: RNAcentral
UGGUGGAGUGAUUUGUCUGGUUAAUUCCGUUAACGAACGAGACCCCUGCCUGCUAGAUAGCUUGCAUAGCGAAUUUUCACUGUGUGAAGCUUCUUAGAGGGACGUGCAUUCUAUUAGAUGCAGGAAGAUAGGGGCAAUAACA